Molecule: ribosomal RNA, 215 nt
Filed under: uncultured Glomeromycotina
Lineage: Eukaryota; Fungi; Glomeromycota
Description: partial small subunit ribosomal RNA
Rfam family: Eukaryotic small subunit ribosomal RNA (bases 46-215)
Source: RNAcentral
GGAUCAAGGGAUCGGUCAUGCCUUGGUAUGUACUGGUCCUAUUGGUUCUCACCUUCUAAAGAACCAUAAUGUCAUUCAUUUGAUGUUAUGGGGAAUUAGGACUGUUACCUUGAAAAAAUUAGAGUGUUUAAAGCAGGCUUACGCUUGAAUACAUUAGCAUGGAAUAAUGAAAUAGGACAUCCGAUUCUAUUUUGUUGGUUCCUAGGAUCGAUGUA